UUGACCUCAAAUCAGGUAGGACUACCCGCUGACUUAGCAUAUCAAUAAGCGGAGGA
This 56-nucleotide ribosomal RNA is filed under the name uncultured fungus. RNAcentral describes it as "partial 28S ribosomal RNA". The record is from RNAcentral. Lineage: Eukaryota; Fungi.